CAGCAGCAGCCGCGGUAAUACGGAGGAUCCAAGCGUUAUCCGGAAUCAUUGGGUUUAAAGGGUCCGUAGGCGGUCUUGUAAGUCAGUGGUGAAAGCCCAUCGCUCAACGGUGGAACGGCCAUUGAUACUGCAGGACUUGAAUUAUUGGGAAGUAACUAGAAUAUGUAGUGUAGCGGUGAAAUGCUUAGAGAUUACAUGGAAUACCAAUUGCGAAGGCAGGUUACUACCAAUUGAUUGACGCUGAUGGACGAAAGCGUGGGUAGCGAACAGGAUUAGAUACCCGAGUAGUCCCUGUCUCUUAUAA
RNAcentral lists this ribosomal RNA (304 nucleotides) under uncultured bacterium. RNAcentral's name for it is "partial 16S ribosomal RNA". It matches the Rfam family "Bacterial small subunit ribosomal RNA", at positions 506 to 809 of the family's 1533-position model. The record is from RNAcentral.